UAUGAAAAGCCUGCUUGCAGGCGUUGUAUUUGGAAGUCUCUGGGGUGUCAGUGCGUGUAAGUUGUAUGGAAAUACACGCCGUGGAGGGUGAGAGCCCCGUCCAGCGCGCACAGGACACUUCGUACGAGGCUUUCCUAACGAGUCGGGUAGCUUGGGAAUGCUGCUCUAAUUGGUGGUAAAUCUCAUCAAAGGCUAAAUAUUGACCGGAGACCGAUAGCGAACAAGUACCGUGAGGGAAAGAUGACAAGCACUUUGAAAAGAGGGUGAAAAGAGCCUGAAACCGUCAUGGGGGAAGCGGAUUGCGUUGUAUUGAAGGGUUGCUGCGUGUUCAGCCGUUAAAGGUGCAUUGGCGCAGUGGCUUAUCUGUCGUGGGCUUUGGGUGGCUGAUAUUGAGCUGCCUGGGGCUGAGGGCUCCUCGUUUACGGGUGAGGACGAUAGAGUGAUGACGCGAUACGACCCGUCUUGAAACACGGACCAAGGAGUCUAGCGCGGUUGCGAGUCGAAGGGUGCAAGCCUGAAGGCGUAGUGAAAGCGAGUGUAAAACGAGCAGUUUGGGGCGGCAUAGGAUCGUUGAUUCUAGGUCUGACCUUGAGCAAUUGCGCUGGGACCCGAAAGAUGGUGAACUAUGCCGGAGUAGGGCAAAGCCAGAGGAAACUCUGGUGGAGGCUCGUAGCGGUGCUGACGUGCAAAUCGCUCGUCAAACUUGGGUAUAGGGGCGAAAGACUAAUCGAACCAUCUAGUAGCUGGUUCCCUCCGAAGUUUCUCUCAGGAUAGCGGGCCGACAUGUGUUGUUUUGUGCGGUAAAGCGAAUGAUUAGCGCACUCGGGGGCAUUUUGUCUUCGGGCGAUUCUCAAACUUUCAAUGCGCAAGGGUGCCGCUGCUUGAUUGAGCGGCACCGGCAAAAACGUCGGCCCUGUGGGCCACUUUUGGUAAGCAGAACUGGCGAUACGGGAUGAACCGUAAGUGUGGUUAAGGCGCCUAAUUGCCCGCUUAUAGANNNNNNNNNNNNNNNNNNNNNNNNNNNNNNNNNNNNNNNNNNNNNNNNNNNNNNNNNNNNNNNNNNNNNNNNNNNNNNNNNNNNNNNNNNNNNGAAUUAGCCCUGAAAAUGGAUGGCGCUGAAGCGGGUGGCCGACACCACACCGUUUGGUAAAGAAUUAUGACCAAAUGAGUAGGAGGGCGUGGCGGUUGUAUCGAAGGGUAUGUGCAGACAUGCCUGGAACGGCCGCUAGUGCAGAUCUUGGUGGUAGUAGCAAGUAUUCAAGCGAGAUCCUUGAAGGGCGAAGCGGGGAAGGGUUCCACGCGAACAUUGAUUGGGCGUGGGUGAGUCGUUCCUAAGCCGAGUGGCGAUUGCUAAGUAGCGGCGAAAGGGAAGCUGGUUGACAUUCCAGCACACGGAUGUGGAGGCGGUGACGCAUAUUGAGACGAACACGCUGGCGGUGGCGCUGGGCAGAGUUGUCUUUUCUGUUUGACUUUGCGCGCGCGGUGUGGAAUCCGCUUGUCGGGAGAAACACGCGUGUCGAGGCAGAGCGCCGGGGCUUUUCCGGCGUCCAGCUCGCCACCGACGGCCCUUGAAACUUUGUCUGCUUAAUAAAUCCACGCCGUGGCGUACCGAUCACCGCAUCAGGUCCCCAAGGUGAACAGCCUCUGCUCUAUAUGAACAAUGCAGGUAAGGGAAGUCGGCAAAUUAGACCCGUAACUUUGGGAUAAGGGUUGGCUCUAGUGCUGCGUGGGAGUGGUUGCCCAUGGUCGGGGGGGUUGGCGAGGCUGGCUUGGCGCGUGGCUUUCGGGUCGUGUGCCGGCUGCUGAGUUGGUUUUUCUGCUUUGGGCGACGCCCACGGCAUGCAGCAGACUAGAACUGCAACGGGCAAAGGGAAUCCGACUGUUUAAUUAAAACAAAGCAUUGCGAGGGCCGUGGCCGGUGAUGACGCAAUGUGAUUUCUGCUCAGUGCUCUGAAUGUCAAAGUGAAGAGAUUCAAUCAAGCGCGGGUAAACAGCGGGAGUAACUAUGACUCUCUUAAGGUAGCCAAAUGCCUCGUCAUCUAAUUAGUGACGCGCAUGAAUGGAUUAACGAGAUUCCUACUGUCCCUAUCUGCUUCUAGCGAAACCACAGCCGAGGGAACGGGCUCGGCGAAAUCGGCGGGGAAAGAAGACCCUGUUGAGCUUGACUCUAUUCUAAUUUUGUGAAGCAAGUUGGGAGGUGUAGCAUAGGUGGGAGCGCUUGCGCGUCCGUGAAAUACCACUACUCCCAGUCUUGCUUUACUUACUGGGUUGGUGUGGAUGGGGCUUACGGCCUUGUUUUGGAAUCAACGCACUGUAGUGCAGACCACAGCCCAGCACACAUUUAGGAGGGGAGUUUGGCUGGGGCGGCACAUCUUCUACAAGACAACGAAGGUGUCCAAAGAUAAGCUCAGCGAGAACAGAAAUCUCGCGUAGCGGAAAAGGCUAAAAGCUUGUUUGAUUUUGAUUUUCAGUGCGAGUCGAAAACGCGAAAGCGUGGCCUAUCGAUCCUUUCAUGAUUCGAGAUUUGAAGCGAGAGGUGUCAGAAAAG
This 2548-nucleotide ribosomal RNA is filed under the name Judithia parasitica. RNAcentral describes it as "partial large subunit ribosomal RNA". It matches the Rfam family "Eukaryotic large subunit ribosomal RNA", at positions 113 to 2814 of the family's 3401-position model. The record is from RNAcentral. Lineage: Eukaryota; Rhodophyta; Florideophyceae; Gigartinales; Kallymeniaceae.